GACGAACGCUGACGGCGUGCUUAACACAUGCAAGUCGAAGGGAGUGGCGAACGGGUGAGUAACACGUGAGUAACCUGCCCUUUUCUUUGGGAUAAGCCUGGGAAACUGGGUCUAAUACUGGAUGGAUUGGGAUGGGCUCGCGGCUUAUCAGCUUGUUGGUGGGGGGAUGGCUUACCAAGGCUUUGACGGGUAGCCGGCCUGAUAGGGUGAACGGUCACGCUGGGACUGGGAUACGGCCCAGAGUCGUACGGAAGGCGGCAGUGGGGGAUAUUGCACAAUGGACGAAAGUCUGAUGCAGCGAGGUCGUGUGGGGGAUGAAGGCCUUCGGGUUGUAAACUCCUUUCGGCCGCGGGAUGGUAGUGGGUAAAGAAGCGCCGGCUAACUACGUGCCAGCAGCCGCGGUAAUUC
RNAcentral lists this ribosomal RNA (408 nucleotides) under uncultured bacterium. Its description in RNAcentral is "partial 16S ribosomal RNA". It matches the Rfam family "Bacterial small subunit ribosomal RNA", at positions 28 to 526 of the family's 1533-position model. The record is from RNAcentral.